RNAcentral lists this ribosomal RNA (820 nucleotides) under uncultured Bacteroidota bacterium. RNAcentral describes it as "bacterial SSU rRNA". It matches the Rfam family "Bacterial small subunit ribosomal RNA", at positions 111 to 932 of the family's 1533-position model. The record is from RNAcentral. Lineage: Bacteria; Pseudomonadati; Bacteroidota.
UAACGCGUAUGCAACCUACCUUUUACUGGGGGAUAGCCCGGAGAAAUCUGGAUUAAUACCCCAUGGUACCUAGAGGUCGAAUGAUUUUUAGUUUAAAGAUUUAUCGGUAAGAGAUGGGCAUGCGUCUGAUUAGCUAGUUGGCGGGGUAACGGCCCACCAAGGCGACGAUCAGUAGGGGUUCUGAGAGGAAGGUCCCCCACACUGGCACUGAGAUACGGGCCAGACUCCUACGGGAGGCAGCAGUAGGGAAUAUUGGGCAAUGGUCGCAAGACUGACCCAGCCAUGCCGCGUGCAGGAAGACGGCCCUCUGGGUUGUAAACUGCUUUUAUCUGGGAAGAAAAAGUCCAUGCGUGGAAAAUUGCCGGUACCAGAUGAAUAAGCACCGGCUAACUCCGUGCCAGCAGCCGCGGUAAUACGGAGGGUGCAAGCGUUGUCCGGAUUUAUUGGGUUUAAAGGGUGCGUAGGCGGCUGAAUAAGUCAGCGGUGAAAGACUUCGGCUUAACCGGAGCAGUGCCGUUGAUACUGUUUAGCUUGAGUGUUGGAGGGGUACAUGGAAUUGAUGGUGUAGCGGUGAAAUGCAUAGAUACCAUCAGGAACACCGAUAGCGAAGGCAUUGUACUGGCCAACAACUGACGCUGAGGCACGAAAGUGUGGGGAUCGAACAGGAUUAGAUACCCUGGUAGUCCACACCGUAAACGAUGAUUACUCGCUGUUAUGGGGUAAGCUGUAGCGGCCAAGCGAAAGCGUUAAGUAAUCCACCUGGGGAGUACGCCGGCAACGNUGAAACUCCAAGGAAUUGACCGGGGGUCCGCCCAAGCGG